Schistosoma curassoni is the source of this 45-nucleotide non-coding RNA. Lineage: Eukaryota; Metazoa; Platyhelminthes; Trematoda; Strigeidida; Schistosomatidae. The record is from Rfam.
AUCCAGCAGACGAGUCUCAAGUCGGAUGAAAUGCGCGUCCUGGAU